This 83-nucleotide small RNA is filed under the name Flavobacterium sp. FPG59. RNAcentral's name for it is "Flavo-1 RNA". It matches the Rfam family "Flavo-1 RNA". Lineage: Bacteria; Pseudomonadati; Bacteroidota; Flavobacteriia; Flavobacteriales; Flavobacteriaceae. The record is from Rfam by way of RNAcentral.
UAUUAGCCCCGAUUAAAGUGAAAAUCCUUUUUGUACGCUUUUUUUUGCGUGCAAAAAGAUUGCAACGGAAAGCGGGACAAAAU